GCGAAUAGCUCAGUAACACGUGGCCAAGCUACCCUUCAGACCGUGAUCCUCGGGAAACUGAGGUCAAUAACGGAUACGGUAUCCAUGUUGGAAGACAGGAUACUCCAAACGCUUUCCGCGCUGAAGGAUGCGGCUGCGGCCGAUUAGGUAGACGGUGGGGUAACGGCCCACCGUGCCAAUAAUUGGUACGGGUCAUGAGAGUGAGAGCCCGGAGACGGAAUCUGAGACAAGAUUCCGGGCCCUACGGGGCGCAGCAGGCGCGAAACCUUUACACUGCACGCACGUGCGAUAGGGGAAUCCCAAGUGCGAGGGCAUACUAGCCCUCGCUUUUGUGUACCCUAAGGCGGUACACGAAUAAGAGCUGGGCAAGACCGGUGCCAGCCGCCGCGGUAAUACCGGCAGCUCGAGUGAUGUCCAAUUUUAUUGGGCCUAAAGCGUCCGUAGCUGGCCAGCCAAGUUCGUCGGGAAAUCCACCUGCCCAACAGGUGGGCGUCCGGCGAAAACUGUCUGGCUUGGAACCGGAAGGCUCAGAGGGUACGUCCGGGGUAGGAGUGAAAUCCUGUAAUCCCGGACGGACCACCGAUGGCGAAAGCACUCUGAGAAGACGGAUUCGACAGUGAGGGACGAAAGCUAGGGUCUCGAACCGGAUUAGAUACCCGGGUAGUCCUAGCUGUAAACGAUGCUCGUUAGAUGUGGCACCCACUACGAGUGGGUGCUGUGUCGUAGGGAAGCCGCUAAACGAGCCGCCUGGGAAGUACGUCCGCAAGGAUGAAACUUAA
RNAcentral lists this ribosomal RNA (779 nucleotides) under uncultured archaeon. RNAcentral describes it as "bacterial SSU rRNA". It matches the Rfam family "Archaeal small subunit ribosomal RNA", at positions 81 to 859 of the family's 1478-position model. The record is from RNAcentral.